GAUGAACGCUGGCGGCGUGCUUAAUAUAUGCAAGUCGAGCGAACAGACGAGGCGCUUUCCCCUCUGACGUUAGCGGCGGACGGGUGAGUCACACGUGGAUCACCUCUUUCUUAGACUGGGAAAACUUCGGGAAACCGGAGCUUAUACGGGACAAUAUAUUGCACAGCAUGGUUCAAUAGUGACUGUCGGCUCUGCCGUUACUUAUAGAUCGAUCCGCGCCGCAUGAGCUAGUUUGUAAGGUACAGGCUUACCAAGGCAACUCUGCGUAGCCGACCUGAGAGGGUGAUCUGCCACACUGGAACUGAGACACGGUCCAAACUCCUACGCGAGGCAACAGUAGGGAAUCUUCCGCAAUGAGCGAAAGCUUGACGGAGCAAAGCCGCGUGAGUGAUGGAGGUCUUCGGAGCGUAAAACUCUGUUAUUAGGGAAGAGCAAAUGUGUAAGUAACUAUGCUCGUCUUGACGGUACCUAAUCAGAGAGCCACGGCUAACUACGUG
Molecule: ribosomal RNA, 497 nt
Filed under: uncultured bacterium
Lineage: Bacteria
Description: partial 16S ribosomal RNA
Rfam family: Bacterial small subunit ribosomal RNA
Source: RNAcentral